This 374-nucleotide ribosomal RNA is filed under the name uncultured bacterium. RNAcentral describes it as "bacterial SSU rRNA". It matches the Rfam family "Bacterial small subunit ribosomal RNA", at positions 523 to 898 of the family's 1533-position model. The record is from RNAcentral.
AUACGGAGGAUGCGAGCGUUAUCCGGAUUUAUUGGGUUUAAAGGGUGCGCAGGCGGUCUAUUAAGUCAGUGGUGAGAUCUCCGGGCUCAACCCGGAAACUGCCAUUGAAACUGGUCGACUUGAGUAUGGAUGAAGUAGGCGGAAUUCGUUGUGUAGCGGUGAAAUGCAUAGAUAUAACGAGGAACCCCGAUUGCGUAGGCAGCUUACUAAACCAUAACUGACGCUCAAGCACGAAAGCGUGGGUAUCAAACAGGAUUAGAUACCCUGGUAGUCCACGCCGUAAACUAUGAUUACUAGUUGUUUGCGAUAUGAUAGUAAGUGACUAAGCGAAAGCGAUAAGUAAUCCACCUGGGGAGUACGCCGGCAACGGUGAA